This 92-nucleotide ribosomal RNA is filed under the name Shewanella algae. The record is from RNAcentral. RNAcentral also lists the same sequence under 2 other names. Lineage: Bacteria; Pseudomonadati; Pseudomonadota; Gammaproteobacteria; Alteromonadales; Shewanellaceae.
CCACCUGAUCCCAUCCCGAACUCAGAAGUGAAACGCAAUCGCGCCGAUGGUAGUGUGGGGUCUCCCCAUGUGAGAGUAGGUCAUCGCCAGAC